CCAUGUGCAUUUCGUAUAGCCCAAUACCUUCUGUGACAUCCAAUGACUACUCUUCCACCACACUGUGAAUGUGAAUGGUUUAGAGUUUAUUUAUUACUCAAAGUAUGUCUGAGGGGCUGGCAACUUGUGUUCUGCUUUAGCCAUGAGCCCACAUCCCGAUUGAAGCCUUCAAAUGUUAUGAGGUACACCGUCUGGCUCCAAAAUCCAACAAGC
Non-coding RNA from Pelobates cultripes (western spadefoot toad), 213 nucleotides. Lineage: Eukaryota; Metazoa; Chordata; Amphibia; Anura; Pelobatidae. The record is from the annotation of a GenBank genome assembly.